CUGCACUCAAUUAAGUCAACUGGGCCGGGUCCCUUGUGGUGUGGUGGUAUGCAUGGCUGCAAACAGCAGCCUUCCCCAAAGAGUAAGCAGCCUGUUUUUUGCACGUGCCUAAGGCACCUGGGACAGCC
RNAcentral lists this small nucleolar RNA (128 nucleotides) under Urocitellus parryii (Arctic ground squirrel). RNAcentral's name for it is "Small nucleolar RNA SNORA70 (ENSUPAG00010006277.1)". It matches the Rfam family "Small nucleolar RNA SNORA70". From Rfam's summary of the family: snoRNA U70 seems to be exclusive to mammals and is a member of the H/ACA class of snoRNA which contain H (ANANNA) and ACA box motifs. H/ACA box snoRNAs are involved in the conversion of uridines to pseudouridines (5-ribosyluracil) a constituent of structural RNAs (transfer, ribosomal, small nuclear, and small nucleolar). Lineage: Eukaryota; Metazoa; Chordata; Mammalia; Rodentia; Sciuridae. The record is from Rfam by way of RNAcentral.